RNAcentral lists this ribosomal RNA (206 nucleotides) under Nacobbus aberrans. RNAcentral's name for it is "18S ribosomal RNA". It matches the Rfam family "Eukaryotic small subunit ribosomal RNA", at positions 1641 to 1831 of the family's 1831-position model. Lineage: Eukaryota; Metazoa; Nematoda; Chromadorea; Rhabditida; Pratylenchidae. The record is from RNAcentral.
UUGAUUACGUCCCUGCCCUUUGUACACACCGCCCGUCGCUGCCCGGGACUGAGCCAUUUCGAGAAACUUGGGGACUGCUGAUCCGGUGGCUUCGGCCUCCGCUUCGGUGGAAACCAAUUAAUCGCAGUGGCUUGAACCGGGCAAAAGUCGUAACAAGGUAGCUGUAGGUGAACCUGCUGCUGGAUCAUUACACGUACCGUGAUGGU